GGCCCCUUCGUCUAACGGCUAGGACACCAGGUUUUCAUCCUGGCAACAGGGGUUCGAUUCCCCUAGGGGUCACCA
RNAcentral lists this transfer RNA (75 nucleotides) under Candidatus Saccharibacteria bacterium RIFCSPHIGHO2_01_FULL_48_12. RNAcentral's name for it is "tRNA-Glu". It matches the Rfam family "tRNA". Rfam says of the family: Transfer RNA (tRNA) molecules are approximately 80 nucleotides in length. Their secondary structure includes four short double-helical elements and three loops (D, anti-codon, and T loops). Further hydrogen bonds mediate the characteristic L-shaped molecular structure. tRNAs have two regions of fundamental functional importance: the anti-codon, which is responsible for specific mRNA codon recognition, and the 3' end, to which the tRNAs corresponding amino acid is attached (by aminoacyl-tRNA synthetases). tRNAs cope with the degeneracy of the genetic code in two manners: having more than one tRNA (with a specific anti-codon) for a particular amino acid; and 'wobble' base-pairing, i.e. permitting non-standard base-pairing at the 3rd anti-codon position. Lineage: Bacteria; Candidatus Saccharimonadota. RNAcentral also lists the same sequence under 3 other names. The record is from RNAcentral.